GACGAACGCUGGCGGCGUGCUUAACACAUGCAAGUCGAACGGUGAAGCGCCUUCCUUUUUGGUGGGUGUGGAUGAGUGGCGAACGGGUGAGUAACACGUGAGUAACCUGCCCCCUUCUUCUGGAUAACCGCAUGAAAGUGUGGCUAAUAUGGGAUAUUCUGGGUCUGUCGCAUGAUGGGUCUGGGAAAGAUAUUGUUUCGGUGGGGGAUGGGCUCGCGGCCUAUCAGCUUGUUGGUGGGGUGAUGGCCUACCAAGGCGGUGACGGGUAGCCGGCCUGAGAGGGUGGACGGUCACACUGGGACGGAGACACGGCCCAGACUCCUACGGGAGGCAGCAGUGGGGAAUAUUGCACAAUGGGCGCAAGCCUGAUGCAGCGACGCCGCGUGAGGGAUGGAGGCCUUCGGGUUGUGAACCUCUUUCGCCAGUGAAGCAGGCCUGCCUCGUUUGUGGGUGGGUUGACGGUAGCUGGAGAAGAAGCGCCGGCUAACUACGUG
This 494-nucleotide ribosomal RNA is filed under the name uncultured bacterium. Its description in RNAcentral is "partial 16S ribosomal RNA". It matches the Rfam family "Bacterial small subunit ribosomal RNA", at positions 28 to 507 of the family's 1533-position model. The record is from RNAcentral.